ACGCACGCUGGCGGCAUGCCUAACACAUGCCAGUCGUACGUGACCUUCGGGUCUAGUGGCGCACGGGUGCGUAACGCGUGGGAACCUGCCCUUAGGUUCGGAAUAACUCCCCGAAAGGGGUGCUAAUACCGGAUAAUGUCUUCGGACCAAAGAUUUAUCGCCUUUGGAUGGGCCCGCGUUGGAUUAGCUAGUUGGUAGGGUAAAAGCCUACCAAGGCGACGAUCCAUAGCUGGUCUGAGAGGAUGAUCAGCCACACUGGGACUGAGACACGGCCCAGACUCCUACGGGAGGCAGCAGUGGGGAAUAUUGGACAAUGGGCGAAAGCCUGAUCCAGCAAUGCCGCGUGAGUGAUGAAGGCCUUAGGGUUGUAAAGCUCUUUUACCCGGGAUGAUAAUGACAGUACCGGGAGAAUAAGCACCGGCUAACUCCGUG
Molecule: ribosomal RNA, 432 nt
Filed under: uncultured bacterium
Lineage: Bacteria
Description: partial 16S ribosomal RNA
Rfam family: Bacterial small subunit ribosomal RNA
Source: RNAcentral